RNAcentral lists this ribosomal RNA (491 nucleotides) under uncultured bacterium. RNAcentral describes it as "bacterial SSU rRNA". It matches the Rfam family "Bacterial small subunit ribosomal RNA", at positions 28 to 507 of the family's 1533-position model. The record is from RNAcentral.
GAUGAACGCUAGCUACAGGCUUAACACAUGCAAGUCGCGGGGCAGCAUGUAUCUGGCUUGCCAGAUACGAUGGCGACCGGCGCACGGGUGAGUAACGCGUAUCCAACCUGCCCAUAACCACGGCACAGCCCGUCGAAAGGCGGAUUAAUGCCGUAUGAGGUUCCAGAGUAGCAUUAUUAUGGAACGAAAGGAUUGGCGGUUAUGGAUGGGGAUGCGUCCGAUUAGCUUGUUGGCGGGGUAACGGCCCACCAAGGCGACGAUCGGUAGGGGUUCUGAGAGGAAGGUCCCCCACAUUGGAACUGAGACACGGUCCAAACUCCUACGGGAGGCAGCAGUGAGGAAUAUUGGUCAAUGGGCGGAAACCUGAACCAGCCAAGUAGCGUGAGGGAUGACUGCCCUAUGGGUUGUAAAACCUCUUUUAUACGGGAAUAAAGUGAUGCCUGCGGGCGUUAUUGCAUGUACCGUACGAAUAAGGACCGGCUAAUUCCGUG